Molecule: long non-coding RNA, 860 nt
Filed under: Malus domestica (apple)
Lineage: Eukaryota; Viridiplantae; Streptophyta; Magnoliopsida; Rosales; Rosaceae
Description: long non-coding RNA (MDOM_LNC002076)
Source: RNAcentral
CAUAAUCUAAGCGGUUCAGCAGCUACAGCAGCUAAUGGGUAUGCCUAGCAUUUCAGUAUUGUUGGGUAGAAUUGAAAGGAACCCAGAUGGAGAGUUUUAAUUUUUAUUUGAAUUGCAUGUUAUCCAGAUGAAAAAUUGAAUUUUCGAGCUACGGUUUUUCGAUUUUUUUAAUUUGGGAUUUCAAUUUUAUUGCUUUUUCUCAUAUAUGAUAAUGGUUAUGGUUUUUCUACGAAUUUUGAUUAUUUUAUGAUCUGGGUUUAAUGAUUUUAGAUGGGGAUCAAGUAUAAUACGUGUGUAGAGGUUUGAAUUGCUAAUGCGUUGCAACGGCUUCAGUUUUAUUGGGUUGCUUGUUCUCAGUUAAUUGUUGAUUCAAGAGUUUUUAAUGAAAGAAUUUUCAAGAGUUUUUUUUUUUAAUGAAAGAAUUUGCUUUUGAAAAUCAUGCUGUGAAGGAUCUUGCAGGACUUGUUGAAGUCGUCUUUUUAUCCGCUUUGGGAGCUCGAUUUGGCUUGAUUUCAAGCUACUGGUCCGAGUUUGGUUAUCCUUCUGAUGGCAGCAGUGGCGGAGGAUGAUGCAGCGGCAGAGGAUGAAGGUGUUAGGGUUUUUUUUUAUGCUGGGCUUGGUUUCGUUGUCCUAUUUGGCCUUGUAAAUGUGGAUGUGUUAGGGUUUUUUUUUAUGCUGGGCUUGGUUUCGUUGUCCUAUUUGGCCUUGUAAAUGUGAAUGUGUUGUUGGUAAUAAAAAAAAGUAGCCCAAUGUCAAACCCAGGAAAAAAAAAAGUAAUUGGACCCGUAGACCCGUCCCGAACCAGCCCGUUUAAAACGGGCCGGGUUAGGUCCGGUUCCUAAAUUCAAAAUCUCUCUACC